AGUGAACGCUGGCGGUAGGCCUAACACAUGCAAGUCGAACGGCAGCACAGUAAGAGCUUGCUCUUACGGGUGGCGAGUGGCGGACGGGUGAGGAAUACAUCGGAAUCUACUUUUUCGUGGGGGAUAACGUAGGGAAACUUACGCUAAUACCGCAUACGACCUACGGGUGAAAGCAGGGGAUCUUUGGACCUUGCGCGAUUGAAUGAGCCGAUGUCGGAUUAGCUAGUUGGCGGGGUAAAGGCCCACCAAGGCGACGAUCCGUAGCUGGUCUGAGAGGAUGAUCAGCCACACUGGAACUGAGACACGGUCCAGACUCCUACGGGAGGCAGCAGUGGGGAAUAUUGGACAAUGGGCGCAAGCCUGAUCCAGCCAUACCGCGUGAGUGAAGAAGGCCUUCGGGUUGUAAAGCCCUUUUGUUGGGAAAGAAAAGCAGCAGGUUAAUACCCCGCUGUUCUGACGGUACCCGAAGAAUAAGCACCGGCUAACUUCGUG
This 492-nucleotide ribosomal RNA is filed under the name uncultured bacterium. RNAcentral describes it as "partial 16S ribosomal RNA". It matches the Rfam family "Bacterial small subunit ribosomal RNA", at positions 29 to 507 of the family's 1533-position model. The record is from RNAcentral.